RNAcentral lists this signal recognition particle RNA (266 nucleotides) under Candidatus Effluviviaceae Genus IV sp. RNAcentral's name for it is "signal recognition particle sRNA large type". It matches the Rfam family "Bacterial large signal recognition particle RNA". Rfam says of the family: The signal recognition particle (SRP) is a universally conserved ribonucleoprotein involved in the co-translational targeting of proteins to membranes. Archaeal SRP consists of a 7S RNA and homologues of the eukaryotic SRP19 and SRP54 proteins. In most bacteria, the SRP consists of a 4.5S RNA and the Ffh protein (a homologue of the eukaryotic SRP54 protein). Lineage: Bacteria; Candidatus Effluviviacota; Candidatus Effluviviaceae. The record is from RNAcentral.
GCGCGCUAGACGGGGAACUAGCGGUGCCCUGUGACCCGCAAUCCGCUACAGCGGGGUCGAACAUCCGCCAGAGGCCUUUCGACUUCGUCUCGAAGCCGAGAGAAGUGGCGUCGAGCGUCAGGUCCCGCGCAAUUGGGUCCGGUGAAUCCGGUCAGGGCCGGGAGGCAGCAGCCGUAAGCCGGUAGCCCGAUGUGCCGCGGGGAAGCUUGGCGGGAGCCAACUGGCUCGUUCUUCGUACGGGGGCGGAGGUCGACGCGGACGCGUGU